AUGCCGCGUGUGUGAAGAAGGCCUUAUGGUUGUAAAGCACUUUAAGCGAGGAGGAGGCUCUUUUGGUUAAUACCCAAGAUGAGUGGACGUUACUCGCAGAAUAAGCACCGGCUAACUCUGUGCCAGCAGCCGCGGUAAUACAGAGGGUGCAAGCGUUAAUCGGAUUUACUGGGCGUAAAGCGCGCGUAGGCGGCCAAUUAAGUCAAAUGUGAAAUCCCCGAGCUUAACUUGGGAAUUGCAUUCGAUACUGGUUGGCUAGAGUGUGGGAGAGGAUGGUAGAAUUCCAGGUGUAGCGGUGAAAUGCGUAGAGAUCUGGAGGAAUACCGAUGGCGAAGGCAGCCAUCUGGCCUAACACUGACGCUGAGGUGCGAAAGCAUGGGGAGCAAACAGGAUUAGAUACCCUGGUAGUCCAUGCCGUAAACGAUGUCUACUAGCCGUUGGGGCCUUUGAGGCUUUAGUGGCGCAGCUAACGCGAUAAGUAGACCGCCUGGGGAGUACGGUCGCAAGACUAAAACUCAAAUGAAUUGACGGGGGCCCGCACAAGCGGUGGAGCAUGUGGUUUAAUUCGAUGCAACGCGAAGAACCUUACCUGGCCUUGACAUAGUAGAAA
RNAcentral lists this ribosomal RNA (610 nucleotides) under Acinetobacter baumannii. RNAcentral's name for it is "bacterial SSU rRNA". It matches the Rfam family "Bacterial small subunit ribosomal RNA", at positions 394 to 995 of the family's 1533-position model. Lineage: Bacteria; Pseudomonadati; Pseudomonadota; Gammaproteobacteria; Moraxellales; Moraxellaceae. The record is from RNAcentral.